RNAcentral lists this ribosomal RNA (454 nucleotides) under uncultured bacterium. RNAcentral describes it as "bacterial SSU rRNA". It matches the Rfam family "Bacterial small subunit ribosomal RNA", at positions 9 to 464 of the family's 1533-position model. The record is from RNAcentral.
GAGUUUGAUCAUGGCUACCAGAUUGAACGCUGGCGGCAGGCCUAACACAUGCAAGUCGGGCGGUAGAGAGAAGCUUGCUUCUCUUGAGAGCGGCGGACGGGUGAGUAAUGCCUAGGAAUCUGCCUGGUAGUGGGGGAUAACGCUCGGAAACGGCGCUAAUACCGCAUACGUCCUACGGGAGAAAGCAGGGGACCUUCGGGCCUUGCGCUAUCAGAUGAGCCUAGGUCGGAUUAGCUAGUUGGUGAGGUAAUGGCUCACCAAGGCGACGAUCCGUAACUGGUCUGAGAGGAUGAUCAGUCACACUGGAACUGAGACACGGUCCAGACUCCUACGGGAGGCAGCAGUGGGGAAUAUUGGACAAUGGGCGAAAGCCUGAUCCAGCCAUGCCGCGUGUGUGAAGAAGGUCUUCGGAUUGUAAAGCACUUUAAGUUGGGAGGAAGGGCAGUAAAUUAAU